RNAcentral lists this small nuclear RNA (102 nucleotides) under Octodon degus (degu). The record is from RNAcentral. Lineage: Eukaryota; Metazoa; Chordata; Mammalia; Rodentia; Octodontidae.
UUGCUUCCGUAGCAAGGAUCCUGAAAUUGAAUGAUACCAGCAGGAUGAGGCUGGCUUCUGCUCAAGGAUGCUAUGCAAAUUUAUGAAAUAUUCUCUAGUUUU